Long non-coding RNA from Lotus japonicus, 1946 nucleotides. RefSeq lists it as uncharacterized. Lineage: Eukaryota; Viridiplantae; Streptophyta; Magnoliopsida; Fabales; Fabaceae. The transcript has 4 exons. The record is from RefSeq and is a predicted model, not a curated record.
UUCAUCUCAGCCCUUCCUCCUCCUUUCUUUCUUACGUUUCUUUUUUCCUUUUUUUUCACUCCCACAGUCUUUUCGUUUUCCCUUCGUUUCAUUUUCAAUUGAUCAGUUUCUCAAUAGAUAAAUAGGGAGCUGCACACACACCAGAGGGAAACGAAUUGAAGUCGAUGGAGGAGAUAUGAUCGAGGCUGGCAGGAACGACGGCAAGACAAUUCAACGGAAAUGGAAUUAAACGCAGACAGACCGAUCGAUUGAGGUGGCAGCGGAGGCAAGGUGCGGUGGGCUUCACGAAGCAACUGGAUGAGUUUGCUCGGGAGAUCGGCGAGGUGGUCAGUGUAGAAGGGAGUGACAUGGGAGAGGAACAUGGCUCUAUCAGCGAGGUCUUUGGCGACGCUGGGGUCGGUGCCGAUGCCGGAGAUGGAUCGGUUCUAUCAACAUGGGGAUGAAGAAGAAUUUUGCAAUGUGCUGUUUUUGGUUUCCCUUUCACGCUUCAGUUAUAAAUACCCACUCUAUGUUUGGUACUUUUUCAUCAAUUGCUCUACAGUCUACCCCCAAAGAAUUUCUAUAAACCAAUACAUAGCUUUGGAUGUUUUCCCUAAUUUGUUGCUAAUGUCCCAAAUACAGAAUUGGUUUCUUGAUUUUCCUUGGCUGUUUUUGUUGAGGCACGAGGCAAAAUGUCUCUGGAAUUUCGGAUUCAUGAAUGACUAUAUAAUAUGGGUAAUUUGCUGUUUUGGGUUUCUCUUUCACGCUUCAGGUAUAAAUACCCUCUCUGUGUUUGGUACUUUUUCAUCAAUGUUGCUAACUGCACCAGUUUUGUUUUGCUGAUCUGCACCUUUCUUUAUGCAAAAUUCAUGGCUAAAUUAGCUUAAAUUAAGCAACUUCAAUGGCAUCUUACACUACAUGUAAUUAGUACAGGAUUUAUUAGCAAAUUGCAAAUGAAGUAUACAUAAUUUUCUCAAGCAAAUUGCAAAUGCUUUGCUUGAUGCUGUUCAGAAUAUGAAAGUUGGGGAUGGUUUUAGUGACGGUGUUGUUCAGGGCCCUCUGAUCAAUGAAGCUCCUGUCAAAAAGGUUGAGUCCUUAAUUCAUGAUACUACAUCAAAGAGGGAAAAAGUAAUUAUUGGCGGUAAACGACAUAGUCUUGGACUCACUUUUUAUGAACCAACAUCGUUAGUGAUGUCCACAAUGAUAUGUGCAUAUCUAGAGAGGAAGCAUUUGGACCUGUUGCGCCCCUUUUGAGGUUCAAAACUGAAGAGGAUCCUAUCAGAAUUGCCAACGACACUAACGCAGGAAACAAACCCAUUGGAUUAUGCAUUGAAGAAAUUAACAUCGAAAAACCAUCUACAGCAAGAUGAUAUAGCCAAGGCAUAUCAUGAAUGUAUUAUGCUUGGACCGGUGAUACAUAACCUUGAAAACUUAGUCAGCCAUAGAACUUAGUAGAUUAUGCAGUAAGAAGAGGCAGAAUUCGGAAACUAUGAAGCCUUUGAAACUGAUAUGUGUGCUCUCUCCAUCCUAGGGAAUAACCUUUCAAAAAGAAGAAGCCUCUCAAUAAAAGUGAAGCAGUUGAUGUUUCUAAUUUGCAUUGAAGAAAUUAACAUGGGAAAAAGUACUAGAGUGGAAGCUUUUUUUCAGGCAUGUUUAUAUAACUGCAAGCGUUCUCAUUCUUCAGUUGUAGCACUUGCUGCACUCAGGUCCACAGAAAGAUCAAGAACCUGAAAAAAAGAACAAAUAAGAUAUUAUGAUCAAGAAAAACAAAUUCAGACUUCCACUGCUCCAUCACAUUUUUUUCUUUUCCCCUUUGAUAUAAUAUUCUAUUGAUGCAACAUUAUAUUUUAGGCAAGAUGCUUUUGUGCUUCCAAAUUAUUGUAUAGUUUGUUAUACACGUAUAUGUAUAUAACUACAAUUAUAACUGUUGAUAUUUUGAUUAAUGAUUAUAACUGUAGAUUUCCUCA